CCUACGGGUGGCUGCAGUAAGGAAUAUUGGUCAAUGGACGCAAGUCUGAACCAGCCAUGCCGCGUGGAGGAUGAAGGUCCUCUGGAUUGUAAACUUCUUUUAUUUGGGAAGAAACUCCCGAUUUCCAUCGGGAUUGACGGUACCAGAUGAAUAAGCACCGGCUAACUCCGUGCCAGCAGCGGCGGUAAUACGGAGGGUGCCAGCGUUAUCGGGAUUAACGGGGUUGUAGGGGGGCAGAGGUGGGAAGGGUGAAAUCUCCGGGCUUAACCCGGAAACUGCCAUUGAUACUAUUUGUCUUGAAUACUCUGGAGGUGAGCGGAAUAUGUCAUGUAGCGGUGAAAUGCUUAGAUAUGACAUAGAACACCCAUUGCGAAGGCAGCUCACUACGGAAAUAUUGACGCUGAGGCACGAAAGCGUGGGGAUCAAACAGGAUUAGAUACCCCUGUAGUC
Molecule: ribosomal RNA, 450 nt
Filed under: uncultured bacterium
Lineage: Bacteria
Description: partial 16S ribosomal RNA
Rfam family: Bacterial small subunit ribosomal RNA
Source: RNAcentral